UACAGAGGUCCCAAGCGUUGCUCGGAAUCACUGGGCGUAAAGCGCACGUAGGCGGCUUCUUAAGUCAGGGGUGAAAUCCUGGAGCUCAACUCCAGAACUGCCUUUGAUACUGAGGAUCUUGAGUUCGGGAGAGGUGAGUGGAACUGCGAGUGUAGAGGUGAAAUUCGUAGAUAUUCGCAAGAACACCAGUGGCGAAGGCGGCUCACUGGCCCGAUACUGACGCUGAGGCACGAAAGCGUGGGGAGCAAACAGG
Molecule: ribosomal RNA, 253 nt
Filed under: uncultured bacterium
Lineage: Bacteria
Description: partial 16S ribosomal RNA
Rfam family: Bacterial small subunit ribosomal RNA
Source: RNAcentral